UCCACCAAUCAGGUCUGUAUGGUCGCAUGACCAGACGGAAGCCACUCCUGAGUAAAAGGCACAUGGCAGCCUGGCUGGAGUUUGCGAAAAGGCACCUGAAGGAC
This is a long non-coding RNA of Thalassophryne amazonica, 104 nucleotides long. RefSeq lists it as uncharacterized. The record is from RefSeq and is a predicted model, not a curated record. The transcript has 3 exons. NCBI's taxonomy places the organism in Eukaryota, Metazoa, Chordata, Actinopteri, Batrachoidiformes, Batrachoididae.